GUUCAGUGCUUGGGGGCAGUCCUGUUUAACACCUUUAUCAAUGACCUGGAUGAGAGGAUCAAGGGCACCCUCAGUCAGUUUGCAGACGACACCAAGUUGGGCAAGAGUGUUGAUCUGCUGGAGGGUAGGAAGACUCUGCAGAGGGAUCUGGACA
This is a long non-coding RNA of Neopelma chrysocephalum (saffron-crested tyrant-manakin), 154 nucleotides long. RefSeq lists it as uncharacterized. The transcript is spliced from 3 exons. The record is from RefSeq and is a predicted model, not a curated record. Lineage: Eukaryota; Metazoa; Chordata; Aves; Passeriformes; Pipridae.